CAUCCCAUGUAUAUAGACUAUAUCUCCCAUAUACAUUCUAUCUUCAUAUAAUGUAUUAAAGUCAUAACUUUAACAAAGAAGUAUUCUUUUCAUUUCCUAAAUUAAUAUAUCAUAUAUAUUUCAAUCUUUUAGGAACAUGAUUAACUCCCACUAAUCUUUUGUAAAACUAGUAAACAAAAGAUUCAUUUACAUCUUUAUGAGAAAUCAAACGAUUUGAUCAUUUUCUCAUAAAAUGCAAAUAGCUCCCACUAACUUGCUAAGAUCCAUGAUGGAUGGAUAUCUACAACUUACAUGUCUUGUGAUUUAUAGUUUUAGACAUAU
This 321-nucleotide long non-coding RNA is filed under the name Malus domestica (apple). RNAcentral's name for it is "long non-coding RNA (MDOM_LNC001935)". Lineage: Eukaryota; Viridiplantae; Streptophyta; Magnoliopsida; Rosales; Rosaceae. The record is from RNAcentral.